Molecule: ribosomal RNA, 253 nt
Filed under: uncultured bacterium
Lineage: Bacteria
Description: partial 16S ribosomal RNA
Rfam family: Bacterial small subunit ribosomal RNA
Source: RNAcentral
UACGAAGGGGGCUAGCGUUGCUCGGAAUGACUGGGCGUAAAGGGCGCGUAGGCGGUUCGUACAGUCAGACGUGAAAUUCCCGGGCUCAACCUGGGGGCUGCGUUUGAUACGUGCGGGCUUGAGUUCGGAAGAGGGUCGUGGAAUUCCCAGUGUAGAGGUGAAAUGCGUAGAUAUCGAGAGGAACACCUGCGGCGAAGGCGGGUUGCUGGGCUGACACUGACGCUGAUGCGCGAAAGCUAGGGGAGCGAACGGG